CAUUUCGGUUCUUGCUUCUUUUGUUGAGUGAGUUGCUGUUCUGUAGGCUGAAGUAUGACCUCGCGAUGCAGAGUGGGGAAUUAAAGAGAGCUUUGCAAGCCUCGUCACGCUAAGCAAUAGCAAAACCCUUGGAACAAAAGGUGAUGAAGUCAGCCUCGCCUUGACAACGGAGAAAAUUGUGAAGUUCUGUGAGGAAUUUCUUGAGCUGGUAGAUGCCGCUGAUUUCACUUCUUUUCGUUUUUGUUUCUGCUAGAGACCUAAUCACCUUGCUAAUGCAGUUACUGGUGGGAAGCAGCCAUUGCAGCCGCUAUCAGAAAAGUCAUGGCAUGAUCGCAGAAGCGACACUUCACGCAUAUG
RNAcentral lists this long non-coding RNA (357 nucleotides) under Selaginella moellendorffii. RNAcentral describes it as "long non-coding RNA (SMOE_LNC000296)". The record is from RNAcentral. Lineage: Eukaryota; Viridiplantae; Streptophyta; Lycopodiopsida; Selaginellales; Selaginellaceae.